Long non-coding RNA from Mustela putorius furo (domestic ferret), 1321 nucleotides. Ensembl lists it as uncharacterized. NCBI's taxonomy places the organism in Eukaryota, Metazoa, Chordata, Mammalia, Carnivora, Mustelidae. The record is from Ensembl.
GUUAUCUGGCAAAGGAGAAGAGUAAGGACAAUGCCAGGGAAGAGAGCAAACACAAAGGCACGCGCGGGUGAGGAAGCACGGCCUGGGUAGAAGAUGCCAUGUACCUUGACAUGCUGGCAAAACAAAGAACUCAAAAGGUGGCCCAGGGCCAGCAAUGAUGUUGGUUUCUGCAGAAGCCCAGGGAAAAGGAAAGGUGCCUCACCUAAUGCAGUGACAAGAGGAUUAACUUGAAAAAUAGAAGAUAAAUGUAACUUAGAGAAGAAUGGACUUUGGAUAUGGAAUUGCCCCUAGCUGAACCUGGCUAGCAAUUCUUGGUGUUUCCGUUUGAAGAACAAAGCAGAUGAUCAGAUCAGACAUCGCUGGAACAAAGGUUAUGAUGACGUCCCAGAUGAACUCUAAGGUCUUUUCUGACCUGAACUUCUGUGAAUUUAUAUUUUCAAAUCCUCUAAAAAAAAACCAGAAAACUUCAAGUUUAAAGAGUUGUGUAAUAACUGUGAGGCACAAGUUAGGAUAAAGAAAACAUUAAGAACAACAGCCCCAACAAAUCAAUCUUGCUCACCUGUUCUUAAGAAAUUAGACACUUUCUAUUUAAAAGUAAUGAAAAAUACGUUUAAAAAGUGAAUCGCUUCAAACACAAAGAGGAACAAUACAAGAGAAACAAAUGAGCAAGAAAAACUUCAUUGGUACCUUCAGUAUGAAUGUCCUGCAGAGACAGAGCUUAGAGAUCUGACCAACAGCAGAACUGGUUCUUUCCCGAGGGGCUCAUUUUCAAAGCAAGGAAUGGCUCUGAACACACAUGUGAAUUAGGACAGGCACACAUCACGGGAAUGCUUCUGUCCAAAGUCUCGGACUCCUGUGCAUAUAGGAGGUUACUCUCCUGGUAGCCACAAGAGUUGACAUUCUUUUGCACACACAUGAGACAUUAAAGACAACAAUACAGAAGUGCCUACAAUUGCGCAGAGCUUGCGGCAAUCAUCACCCAGUGGUGGGCAUUUUAAAGUAAAUAUUUCUUGACAAAACCUCACGAUACAACCAAAAUUCAUUUUACUUAGGGGGAAAUGUUUCUAAACAUUCCCAGAAAUUUUCUGGGUAUAAAAAGAUACAUUUUGUGAAUUAUUGUUUUAGGAAUAAUUCUAAUGUAGUCCCAUAAGUUAAAAACAAAUUUUAGCAAAAAUGAAAAGUCUAUUUUAGGAAUUGCUUUUCAUCUGCAACAUAAUUAAUAGCUAUAAGAAAACAGCUUUGGGGAGAGGAUCUAGGAGAAACUUCAUUCCAUUCAAUGCCUAGGUUGUAUAAUAAAGGAACACACAACUGAGUGACCAGC